UAGAGCCACUAGGGGGGCAAUCUGCUGAGACAGGGAAUACUCCUUGGACCCUUAGCACCUGAUCUGGAUAAUACCAGCGUAGGAAAGUGGCAGAAGUCCGUC
This 102-nucleotide non-coding RNA is filed under the name Paenalicyclobacillus ferrooxydans. RNAcentral's name for it is "Alicyclobacillus ferrooxydans TPP sequence". It matches the Rfam family "TPP riboswitch aptamer (THI element)". From Rfam's summary of the family: Vitamin B(1) in its active form thiamin pyrophosphate (TPP) is an essential coenzyme that is synthesised by coupling of pyrimidine and thiazole moieties in bacteria. The previously detected thiamin-regulatory element, thi box was extended, resulting in a new, highly conserved RNA secondary structure, the THI element, which is widely distributed in eubacteria and also occurs in some archaea. Analysis of operon structures identified a large number of new candidate thiamin-regulated genes, mostly transporters, in various prokaryotic organisms. The record is from Rfam by way of RNAcentral. Lineage: Bacteria; Bacillati; Bacillota; Bacilli; Caryophanales; Alicyclobacillaceae.